GUGUCUCGAGCUGACUCCAACCCCUGUGACAUACCAAUUGUUGCCUCGGCGGAUCAGCCCGCUCCCGGUAAAACGGGACGGCCCGCCAGAGGACCCCUAAACUCUGUUUCUAUAUGUAACUUCUGAGUAAAACCAUAAAUAAAUCAAAACUUUCAACAACGGAUCUCUUGGUUCUGGCAUCGAUGAAGAACGCAGCAAAAUGCGAUAAGUAAUGUGAAUUGCAGAAUUCAGUGAAUCAUCGAAUCUUUGAACGCACAUUGCGCCCGCCAGUAUUCUGGCGGGCAUGCCUGUUCGAGCGUCAUUUCAACCCUCAAGCCCUCGGGUUUGGUGUUGGGGAUCGGCGAGCCCUUGCGGCAAGCCGGCCCCGAAAUCUAGUGGCGGUCUCGCUGCAGCUUCCAUUGCGUAGUAGUAAAACCCUCGCAACUGGUACGCGGCGCGGCCAAGCCGUUAAACCCCCAACUUCUGAAUGUUGACCUCGGAUCAGGUAGGAAUACCCGCUGAACUUAAAGCAUAUCAAACGGGAAAGAAAA
RNAcentral lists this ribosomal RNA (530 nucleotides) under Fusarium oxysporum. RNAcentral's name for it is "eukaryotic LSU rRNA". The stretch from base 148 to 301 matches the Rfam family "5.8S ribosomal RNA". Lineage: Eukaryota; Fungi; Ascomycota; Sordariomycetes; Hypocreales; Nectriaceae. The record is from RNAcentral.